CAUUGAAAUACCAGUUCUUGUACAAUCACCGAGGUUAAGCAACAUUAAGCCUGGUCAGUACCUAGAUGGGUGACCACUUGGGAAUACCAUGUGCUAUA
Acanthosepion pharaonis is the source of this 98-nucleotide non-coding RNA. The record is from the annotation of a GenBank genome assembly. Lineage: Eukaryota; Metazoa; Mollusca; Cephalopoda; Sepiida; Sepiidae.